RNAcentral lists this transfer RNA (65 nucleotides) under Scarelus similis. RNAcentral describes it as "partial tRNA-Phe". The record is from RNAcentral. Lineage: Eukaryota; Metazoa; Arthropoda; Insecta; Coleoptera; Lycidae.
UAAAAAGCGUGAUAUUGAAGAUAUCAAUAUAAUAAUUUUAUUUUAAAAUAAUAAAAUUUUAUUUA